RNAcentral lists this ribosomal RNA (239 nucleotides) under Salmonella enterica subsp. enterica serovar Infantis. RNAcentral's name for it is "partial 16S ribosomal RNA". It matches the Rfam family "Bacterial small subunit ribosomal RNA", at positions 1 to 236 of the family's 1533-position model. The record is from RNAcentral. Lineage: Bacteria; Pseudomonadati; Pseudomonadota; Gammaproteobacteria; Enterobacterales; Enterobacteriaceae. RNAcentral also lists the same sequence under 55 other names.
AAAUUGAAGAGUUUGAUCAUGGCUCAGAUUGAACGCUGGCGGCAGGCCUAACACAUGCAAGUCGAACGGUAACAGGAAGCAGCUUGCUGCUUUGCUGACGAGUGGCGGACGGGUGAGUAAUGUCUGGGAAACUGCCUGAUGGAGGGGGAUAACUACUGGAAACGGUGGCUAAUACCGCAUAACGUCGCAAGACCAAAGAGGGGGACCUUCGGGCCUCUUGCCAUCAGAUGUGCCCAGAU